Long non-coding RNA from Hydra vulgaris (swiftwater hydra), 1193 nucleotides. RefSeq lists it as uncharacterized. The record is from RefSeq and is a predicted model, not a curated record. NCBI's taxonomy places the organism in Eukaryota, Metazoa, Cnidaria, Hydrozoa, Anthoathecata, Hydridae.
UACACAUAUAUAUAUAUAUAUAUAUAUAUAUAAAUUAUGCUAGUGUAUUCUACAAAUAGAGUGAUGUCUGCAAUAUUCUUAAAGAACAGAGCAAUCAGGGCUGUGGAGUCAUGGAGUUGGAGUUGCGACAUUGUUAGUGGGGUCAGAGUCGCUAAACAAAAUCACGACUCCGGAUCCAAUAGUAAAACUUCUCGGUAUUGCAUGUUCAUAUACAAAAUAUUUAACCUUUAAAGAACUUUUCAUAUUUCACAAACCUUUAAAGAACUUUUCAUAUUUCACAAAAAAAAUAUUUUGUAAUUAUCGCGUAAUAUUUUUAAAAGAAUUCAAAGAAAUGGUUAUUCAAUUUUUAAUCAAAAUUCAAAAAAAUUUUGCUUUGGAGUCGGAGUCGUUCUCUAAAAAUUUCAGCGAAUAAAAGUUGGUACUUUUUUUUUCCAACUCCACAUGUCUGUGAGCAAUAAUUUGUAAUAAAACUUUAUUACAAUAAUUUGUAAUAAAACUUAUCUAAUUCUCUUCGACAGUUUGAAUCUCCAUCAGUAGGUUCAUCAGGAAGCUUCCUGAUGAAACCACUGAUGAAGAAACAAGGUGACAAAGAGAAUUAGACAAAUGUUUUUACUAAUUUAUAUAAAUAUAUAUAUAUUUUUUACAUGAACUUUACUUGUUUAUAUCUUUUUUUAAAUUAAGCAUGAAACUUAAGAUUUUUUGCAUUAUUCAGUUUAAAUCUACCUUUUCCAACCAUUUAUAGAAAGUACUAUUUACUACUUUAUAUGCUAUUUAUAUGGCUUCACUUAUAUAUUUUACUUUUCAGAGUUUCUGAGAAAAGUUGUUUCAACUUGCUGAAAUUAAAAAAAUUUUAGUAAAUAAAACUGCACAGUUCUCUAAUGAUCCAGAAAGUUAUAAACAACUUAAAAGUUCAGAUGAACUUAAUGUUUUGAAAAGAAAAAUUGCAAAUGGAGAUAUCCAAUGCAUCACUUUUGUAUGCAUGAGUUUCAUCUUUAUAGUUUAUAUGUUAUAUUAUUACAAUAUUUCUUUUGAAUUGUCAUGAACAUUUUCAAUGUUUCUUUCGCACUGUUUCUUUUUAGGUAAAACAGUUAUCAUUAGUUGGCGGUAAAAAUUCAGUUGAUACAAUUAAAAAUAUUUUGCUCUUACUGACAACAGAUACUAUUUUCAGAAUGCGGCAUGAAUGGUCUUAAAAA